GGUCACGAGCGCCAGCGCGGAGCCCCGGCUCGCUGGCCGGCAACCCUGCUCCGCGAUGGGGUGCCCCGGGUGACGACCUGGCGGGCGCCGACCGGUGCCGGCAAGCGCGGGCU
RNAcentral lists this non-coding RNA (113 nucleotides) under Geodermatophilus obscurus. Its description in RNAcentral is "SAM-IV sequence". It matches the Rfam family "SAM (S-adenosyl methionine) riboswitch aptamer". From Rfam's summary of the family: SAM-IV is a mRNA element that regulates gene expression via direct sensing of S-adenosylmethionine (SAM or AdoMet). SAM-IV riboswitches share conserved nucleotide positions with the previously described SAM-I riboswitches sequence analysis and molecular recognition experiments suggest that SAM-I and SAM-IV riboswitches share similar ligand binding sites, but have different scaffolds. Lineage: Bacteria; Bacillati; Actinomycetota; Actinomycetes; Geodermatophilales; Geodermatophilaceae. The record is from RNAcentral. RNAcentral also lists the same sequence under 1 other name.